AGACACCAUAGGAUCCUGAGGGCUCCCCAGCCUGGAAGAUAAGCAGGAUCAGGCCUGGCUCGAGCUUAGAUGGGGAACCUUGUGGAAAGACUGGACCUCGAGACUU
RNAcentral lists this ribosomal RNA (106 nucleotides) under Cebus imitator (Panamanian white-faced capuchin). Lineage: Eukaryota; Metazoa; Chordata; Mammalia; Primates; Cebidae. The record is from RNAcentral.